Molecule: ribosomal RNA, 139 nt
Filed under: Thelephoraceae sp.
Lineage: Eukaryota; Fungi; Basidiomycota; Agaricomycetes; Thelephorales; Thelephoraceae
Description: partial large subunit ribosomal RNA
Source: RNAcentral
AAACGCUUGAAGUCAGUCACGUCUGCCAGGACUCAGCCUUGCUUCUGCUUGGUGCACUUUCUGGUUUGAUGGGCCAACAUCAAUUUUGACCGCUGGAGAAAGGCAUUGGGAAUGUGGCACCUUCGGGUGUGUUAUAGCC